Chroicocephalus ridibundus (black-headed gull) is the source of this 1565-nucleotide long non-coding RNA. RefSeq lists it as uncharacterized. The transcript has 4 exons. Lineage: Eukaryota; Metazoa; Chordata; Aves; Charadriiformes; Laridae. The record is from RefSeq and is a predicted model, not a curated record.
GUGGGGCUGCUGCUGAUCCUUUUAUUUUCCUUCUACAGGGUGGUUGUGACAGCUUGGAGCACCUAAUUUGUGCAAGCAGACAGCCCAGAAUAUAAGGAAAAUGCAACAGCUGGAGAAAUCCAGCUCCAAAGGCUGGAAUGGUUUCCUCGUGCAGGUUUCUCCAAAUCACAGCUAAGGAGGGGCACGGCUCGCCGAGAAAAUGUGUGCCCUGUAAAAUAAAAGGAUUAGGAAACCGCUUUAUAGCUUGUGAGAUUUAUGGUUUCAGAACAAAUGGCUGUAGUUCACUUGGCCUGCAGCUCUAAAGGAGGCCAAAACAAACUGCUUUAAAGCUUUGGUUCAAAAGGAAGGCUCAGAUCCCCCCUUACAUGGGUCUUUGUAAAUGAUGGGAAUACUGGAAGGAGUCUUGUGCAUCCUGCAGCACCUCUAAGCUGCCACUUUAUGCUGCUUGAAUGUGAUAAUAUUGAAAGGUAAAUUUGUUCCAAAUGUCCUGGCACAGUGGAAAUGUUGACCUGGAAACCCAGUGAUGGAGCAGAGAUUUAAAAAAAAUAUAUUAUGGGAAAGAGCGAAGAGGAAAUGUGUGAUGUGGCCUUUUUUCUGUCUUUCGGAGAAGCAGAAGUACAAGGCAUGGUAUCGCCUCACUGUUGAAGAGAAGAAUUGAAGUUGUUUUGGGAUGAGCAGAGCCAAAGAAGCUUCAUUUCAUCUGGAUUUGUGUCUCGAAAGGGAGCUUGCCUGUGUGGAUUCUCUGCUGUCUGAUAAAGGUGAAAAGAAAUAAUUUGGGAGCUGAAAUUGAUGCCAAGGAGCCUUGUAAAACCUAGGAGUCUCCCGCUCUCCGGCCAAGCGUUUCCCUCCACCUCGUGGGUUGAUGCUGCGAGAGCAAGUCCAAUAAUGAUGAGAGAAGAGAAGGAAGAGGUUUCUGGGAACAGCAGCCAAGUCUGUCCUGAGGAAGUAUUUAGAGCUUGGGCUGUUGUGGAUUUGAGCUCUUCAGGCUUGCACUGAAAUGAAGUAUCAAGUGACAAGAGCCACAUUCCCUGGUUCCUACAUUACAGCAAUAGUGCAGAGAAAAAGAGAUCUUCCCGGUUCUGCGAGCUAAGUGGUCACUGUUAGUUUAUCUUCCCCAUUCCCGAAAGAGAAGACACUGGACGACUCCUCCAUUGUUUUUCUUCUGGGAAAUGAUGGACAUCCUUGGUUUGCAGCAUGACCAAAAUUGCCGUUCUGGGUAAAACUGCAGCUCAGUAUCUUGCUGCAGACACUGGCCAGACCCAGCACCACAGGGAAAACUGCAACAGAUCUCUUCAGGAUGUAUUAUGAGCUGCCAAAGCUGAAUAGUGGCUGGUUUGUGUCCAGUGAAGAACAGACUUGGACUAAAUGGAACAGCUGCGCAAAGAUGUUCAACAUAAUAGCUCACCACUCUGUGUUUCCAUUCAUUUCUGACAAAACCGAGAAGCUUUCAACACCAAAGGACACCUUCCCAAUUUCACCGUGUUCCCACGACAGCUCAGGGCAGUGUCUGAGUGCAAGGAAAUUCCAGGGAUGCUCAGAGGCGUAUCUCAGGGGAGGAGCUUGGA